GUGCUUGCUUUUACAGAAUAUAUACUAAAAUUGGAUAGAUACGGAGAUUAGUAUGGCCCCUGUACAAGGAUGAAUACAAAUUUAUCAAACAUUCCAUAUUUAA
Molecule: small nuclear RNA, 103 nt
Filed under: Neogale vison (American mink)
Lineage: Eukaryota; Metazoa; Chordata; Mammalia; Carnivora; Mustelidae
Source: RNAcentral